Molecule: transfer RNA, 73 nt
Filed under: Pseudomonadota bacterium
Lineage: Bacteria; Pseudomonadati; Pseudomonadota
Also listed under: 3 other names
Description: tRNA-Glu
Rfam family: tRNA
About the family: Transfer RNA (tRNA) molecules are approximately 80 nucleotides in length.
Source: RNAcentral
GCCCCCAUCGUCUAGAGGCCUAGGACACCGGCUUUUCAAGCCGAGAACACGGGUUCGAAUCCCGUUGGGGGCG